Non-coding RNA from Taeniopygia guttata (zebra finch), 114 nucleotides. NCBI's taxonomy places the organism in Eukaryota, Metazoa, Chordata, Aves, Passeriformes, Estrildidae. The record is from Rfam.
GUGGGCUACGGGGACAUGUGUCCCACCACGCUGGGCGGGAAGAUCGUGGGGACUCUGUGCGCCAUCGCGGGGGUGCUGACCAUCGCCCUCCCCGUGCCCGUCAUCGUCUCCAAU